ACCACCGGACUGCUCCACUCUGAGUUGGACGGCUCGAUGACACCUAGCUCCAGCAUCUUCCUCACCUCAUCGUUCAGCCUUCCCACCAACUUCUGUGGUACCCGAUAAGGCCGUUGCCGGAUUGGUCGUCCAUCUUUGAGCCGUAUGGAAUGGCUAAUGAGUGUAGUUCUUCCUGGCUGUGCAGAAAAAAGAGAUGGCGUUUCACGAAAUAAGUCCAUUAUCUGUGUAGUCUGUUCCGGAGGUAAAUGUGACAGAGACGGAGGGGUUGAGUGAGUCAGUGCUCCCAGAUCAGAGUCCAAGUCUUCCUCAGUCUUCACAGCCCUGACUAGCAAAGACUUCUCUGUUGGAUGGUUAGCACCUUCCUUCCACUCUUUAAGUAGAUUCACGUGGUAUGUCUGCUUUUCUUUCUUUUUGUCAGGAUGGUGCACCUCAUAGGUGACAGGUCCCAUCCUGCGGAGAAUGGUGUAUGGCCCUUGCCACUUUGCCAGUAGUUUGCUGGUACAAGAGGGAAGAAGUAGCAGAACCUUCUGACCUGGACAAACUGGAUCACACCCCUUUCUGAGGUCUUUGUGGAUUUGGCCUCCCAGCUCUUCUUGAGGAGAUCCAGUGGGCCUUGGACAUCCCAGCCAUAGAGGAGUUCGAAUGCAUCCUCUUCAGGGUCUGGUUGAAACGUUCCACCAAGCCAUUGGUCUGUGGGUGGUACGGUGUCGCCUUGAUGGCAGUGAUGCCAAGCUGCUGUUGGAACAGUUUCAUCAACCGAGAGGAGCUGUAAUGGUGCGCAGGGGAAAAGCUUCUGGGAACCGUGUAGCAUAAUCACAGACCACCAGGAUGUAUUCGUGACCGCUACUGCUCUUAGGUUUUGUGACGACCCAGGUGACCCGCCCAUGGGAGUGUGUGCGC
This is a non-coding RNA of Oryzias latipes (Japanese medaka), 900 nucleotides long. The record is from RefSeq and is a predicted model, not a curated record. Lineage: Eukaryota; Metazoa; Chordata; Actinopteri; Beloniformes; Adrianichthyidae.